This 116-nucleotide ribosomal RNA is filed under the name Enterobacter hormaechei. The record is from RNAcentral. Lineage: Bacteria; Pseudomonadati; Pseudomonadota; Gammaproteobacteria; Enterobacterales; Enterobacteriaceae.
CCUGGCGGCUGUAGCGCGGUGGUCCCACCUGACCCCAUGCCGAACUCAGAAGUGAAACGCCGUAGCGCCGAUGGUAGUGUGGGGUCUACCCAUGUGAGAGUAGGGAACUGCCAGGC